CCUACGGGAGGCAGCAGUGAGGAAUAUUGGUCAAUGGACGCAAGUCUGAACCAGCCAUGCCGCGUGCAGGAUGACGGCUCUAUGAGUUGUAAACUGCUUUUGUACGAGGGUAAACCCCGAUACGUGUAUCGGGUUGAAAGUAUCGUACGAAUAAGGAUCGGCUAACUCCGUGCCAGCAGCCGCGGUAAUACGGAGGAUCCGAGCGUUAUCCGGAUUUAUUGGGUUUAAAGGGUGCGUAGGCGGUUUGGUAAGUUAGAGGUGAAAGGUUGGGGCUCAACCCGGAAAGUGCCUCGGAAACUGGUGGGCGGGAGGAUAGUAGCGGGAGGCGGAAUGUGUGGUGUAGCGGUGAAAUGCUUAGAGAUCAUGCAG
This 369-nucleotide ribosomal RNA is filed under the name uncultured bacterium. Its description in RNAcentral is "partial 16S ribosomal RNA". It matches the Rfam family "Bacterial small subunit ribosomal RNA", at positions 338 to 704 of the family's 1533-position model. The record is from RNAcentral.